RNAcentral lists this ribosomal RNA (253 nucleotides) under uncultured bacterium. RNAcentral's name for it is "partial 16S ribosomal RNA". It matches the Rfam family "Bacterial small subunit ribosomal RNA", at positions 524 to 776 of the family's 1533-position model. The record is from RNAcentral.
UACAGAGGUCCCAAGCGUUGUUCGGAUUCACUGGGCGUAAAGGGUGCGUAGGUGGCAGGGUAAGUUUGAUGUGAAAUCUCCGGGCUUAACCCGGAAACUGCAUUGAAUACUAUCCUGCUCGAGGUUUGGAGGGGGGACUGGAAUUCUCGGUGUAGCAGUGAAAUGCGUAGAUAUCGAGAGGAACACCAGUGGCGAAGGCGGCUUGCCAGAACGCGCUCGACGGUGAGGGAUGAAAGCUGGGGGAGCAAACCGG